Molecule: ribosomal RNA, 497 nt
Filed under: uncultured bacterium
Lineage: Bacteria
Description: partial 16S ribosomal RNA
Rfam family: Bacterial small subunit ribosomal RNA
Source: RNAcentral
GACGAACGCUGGCGGCGUGCUUAACACAUGCAAGUCGAACGGUGAAGCGCCUUCCUUUUUGGUGGGUGUGGAUGAGUGGCGAACGGGUGAGUAACACGUGAGUAACCUGCCCCCUUCUUCUGGAUAACCGCAUGAAAGUGUGGCUAAUACGGGAUAUUCUGGGUCUGUCGCAUGAUGGGUCUGUGGAAGCUAUUGUUUCGGUGGGGGAUGGGCUCGCGGCGGAUCAGCUGGUUGGUGGGGUGAUGGCCUACCAAGGCGGCGACGGCGGGCCGGCCUGAGGGGAUGAUGGGCGACACUAGAAGUGAGACAACGCGCAGAAGACUCCGAGAGGAGGCAGUGGGGGAUAUUAGAGCACGGUCGGAAGAAGGCUGAAGCAGCAACGCCGCGGUAGAGAUGGAGGUCGUGUUGUUGAGAACCUCUGUCGGGAGAGAAGAGCAGCAGGCUAGUAUCUCGGUGGGUUGACGGUAGCUAAAGAAGAAGCACCGGCUAACUACGUG